This 406-nucleotide ribosomal RNA is filed under the name uncultured bacterium. Its description in RNAcentral is "partial 16S ribosomal RNA". It matches the Rfam family "Bacterial small subunit ribosomal RNA", at positions 28 to 526 of the family's 1533-position model. The record is from RNAcentral.
GUUGAACGCUGGCGGCAGGCCUAACACAUGCAAGUCGAACGAGUGGCGGACGGGUGAGUAAUGUGUGGGAAACUGCCUGAUGGCGGGGGAUAACUACUGGAAACGGUAGCUAAUAACGCAUACCAGCGGAUGGGCCCAUAUUGGAUUAGCAAGUAGGUGGGGUAAAGGCUUACCUAGGCGACGAUCCCUAGCUGGUCUGUGAGGAUGACCAGCCACACUGGAACUGAGACACGGUCCAGACUCCGACGUGAGUCAGCAGUGGGGAAUAUUGCACAAUUGGCGCAAUGCUGAUGCAGCCAUGCCGCGUGUAUGAAGAAGGCCUUCGGGUUGUAAAGUACUUUCAGCUGUGAGGCGUUACCCGCAGAAGAAGCACCGGCUAACUCCGUGCCAGCAGCCGCGGUAAUAC